GACAGAGGUGCCGAGCGUUAGGCGGAAUCACUGGGCUUAAAGCGUGUGUAGGCGGGUCGUUAAGUGCCUUGUGAAAUCCCAUGGCUCAACCAUGGAACUGCUGGGCAUACUGGCGAUCUUGUGCCACCUAGGGGCGAGCGGAACAGAUGGUGGAGCGGUGAAAUGCGUAGAUAUCAUCUGGAACGCCAAUGGUGAAAACAGCUCGCUGGGGGUGUGCAGACGCUGAGACACGAAAGCCAGGGGAGCGAACGGG
Molecule: ribosomal RNA, 253 nt
Filed under: uncultured bacterium
Lineage: Bacteria
Description: partial 16S ribosomal RNA
Rfam family: Bacterial small subunit ribosomal RNA
Source: RNAcentral